RNAcentral lists this unclassified non-coding RNA (714 nucleotides) under Yarrowia lipolytica. Lineage: Eukaryota; Fungi; Ascomycota; Dipodascomycetes; Dipodascales. The record is from RNAcentral.
AUAUGUGCCAAGACGACAAUACGACAGACAAACAAUCACUCAUAGCUUCGGACAUCGAUCUUGAGGGAGGUUCUGAAGCUGAUGAAGAGGUCCCUCGUGUGAAAACACUUUCGUUGUGGAUAUCUGUUCCGUUGAAUGCUGCAGUAUGUUGGAUGUGUACCAAUGUCACAGACAGAAUCGUCAACUCCAUCCACAAGAGAGACUACUCAAACGGCUUCGACUGGGUGGCCUUUUGGUUAACUGUCGCCAUAUUUUUUUCCCUCUGGGGGUCCUAUUUUGUCGCCUUUGUUGCCUACAUUAGGCACAGAAACCGGGAUUACCUCAAGUGGCAGAAGAAGAAGGAGUACCAGGCGAGGCUUGAGGCCCCAGACCAAUCUGAGGAGAAGGAAUCUGAACCUUUUCUUAGUGAGAAGUAUGAGGAGUGAAGAUGUGGCGAAAGGUGUCAACACCAGGCUCGCAGUUGAUAUGUUAAAUAUGAACGAAAUCAAAACACAGUAUGUACUGUACAUGGGUAAAAGUGAACACCAACGUAUUUACAACGCAGAGGAGACGGGAACGAGGUGGCAUUGCGGACGCCCAUAGAGGUGGAAAGAGCAAUAGCAGAGUUGGUAUGGGUGGUGGUCCCAGCCCAGCAGUACUGCUGUUUCGUAGGUACGAGUACAUAUGGUCACAGUGUACUCCUGUCAAUCCGCUGUUACUUUAAGUAAAUUGCUA